Molecule: ribosomal RNA, 462 nt
Filed under: uncultured bacterium
Lineage: Bacteria
Description: bacterial SSU rRNA
Rfam family: Bacterial small subunit ribosomal RNA
Source: RNAcentral
CUCCAGACUCCUACGGGAGGCAGCAGUGGGGAACAUUGCACAAUGGGCGCAAGCCUGAUGCAGCCAUGCCGCGUGUAUGAAGAAGGCCUUCGGGUUGUAAAGUACUUUCAGCGGGGAGGAAGGCGAUAAGGUUAAUAGCCUUGUCGAUUGGCGUUACCCGCAGAAGAAGCACCGGCUAACUCCGUGCCAGCAGCCGCGGUAAUACGGAGGGUGCAAGCGUUAAUCGGAAUUACUGGGCGUAAAGCGCACGCAGGCGGUCUGUCAAGGCGGAUGUGAAAUCCCCGGGCUCAACCUGGGAACUGCAUUCGAAACUGGCAGGCUGGAGUCUUGUAGAGGGGGGUAGAAUUCCAGGUGUAGCGGUGAAAUGCGUAGAGGUCUGGAGGAAGGCCGGUGGCGAAGGCGGCCCCCUGGACAAAGACUGACGCUCAGGUGCGAAAGCGUGGGGAGCAAACAGGAUUAGAU